Molecule: ribosomal RNA, 440 nt
Filed under: uncultured bacterium
Lineage: Bacteria
Description: partial 16S ribosomal RNA
Rfam family: Bacterial small subunit ribosomal RNA
Source: RNAcentral
CCUACGGGCGGCAGCAGUGGGGAAUAUUGCACAAUGGGGGAAACCCUGAUGCAGCGACGCCGCGUGAGCGAUGAAGUAUUUCGGUAUGUAAAGCUCUAUCAGCAGGGAAGAAAAUGACGGUACCUGACUAAGAAGCCACGGCUAACUACGUGCCAGCAGCCGCGGUAAUACGUAGGGGGCAAGCGUUAUCCGGAUUUACUGGGUGUAAAGGGAGCGUAGACGGUCCUGCAAGUCAGAUGUGAAAGCCUGGGGCUCAACCCCGGGACUGCAUUUGGAACUGUAAGGCUAGAGUGUCGGAGAGGCAGGCGGAAUUCGUAGUGUAGCGGUGAAAUGCGUAGAUAUUAGGAGGAACACCAGUUGCGAAGGCGGCCUGCUGGACGAUGACUGACGUUGAGGCUCGAAAGCGUGGGGAGCAAACAGGAUUAGAUACCCUGGUAGUC